This 1095-nucleotide ribosomal RNA is filed under the name Triticum aestivum (bread wheat). RNAcentral describes it as "partial small subunit ribosomal RNA". The record is from RNAcentral. Lineage: Eukaryota; Viridiplantae; Streptophyta; Magnoliopsida; Poales; Poaceae.
AUGAAGCCCAGUGCUCAAGUCACCACUUAUUUAUCCUUCAGAGUAUAUGGACUAACCUUUCUGCUACUUCACAAUGCAGGCACCAAGGAAAUGUCUCGCGGGAAGAAGGCAUCUGCCAAUAAGAAGACUGCCGUCCAGAGGCAAAAGAGGAUCUGUCAUUAUCUCCUUUUACCAGGGGAGAAUGGCACACCGGUUACAGAUUUUGUCAAGGGUCUCGCCGGUGAAAUAAUGUGUGAUAGGGAUCCGGUUGGCCAAACACAAGCAUUGGAUACUCCGCCUGCAAGCUUUAUCGAGAGUGUGAAGCAUAUAUUAUUCAGAGUCACGAAUAUGCCACUGGGCGUUCUUGAGUCUGGCUACUGCUUUCAGAGCUUGCAGCUAGAAAACAUCGUGGUGACAGAUUAUUAUGAGAUCCCAAAGUUAGUGGUUGACAACCUGGAGAAAAGAACUGCCAAGGGCACAAAAGCCAAUCUUACAGCCCUCGCAGACAUGCUUCACCAGUUGGUGGGUGAAGCCAGUGCCAAGUAUCACACGGACAAGGAUAUCAAUCCGGAGUUCAAGCAUUUGCUCCAGCAUAUAAAAGGGUAUCAGCAAGGAGACCCAUUCUUCCUUAUGAGAUAUAAUGUUUGUUAUGUGCCACUGGAGAAUAGGCCUUUUCUCUACGUCGAAAUGUAUGACUAUGUGAUGGAUAUUCUGAGAUAUACCAACCCAGAGGCGUUACAGUUUGUGAUCAGCAAUCUGUCCUAUCCAUUGGACUGGAAUGUUCAACUUCUGAACAACUCAUACCUGGUUUGGUCAUUUGGCAGGUCAAGAUAUGAUCCACAGGCGACGCGCUUUCCAGCGGAAACUGAUCCUCGAUUGGAGCCAUUGAGCUACCAUCGGAACGGGCCUGCUCAUCCCUUGGAGGAUUCGGCUGAUCCGGCCGCAGAACAUGGAAUGGCCUCGACAAGGGCGGAUGUUGCACACAGGUUUUAUUUUCUGUUCCUGGACCUGAUGUCGUCAAUGCAGACGAACCUGCACUAUAUUGGAGCUCUAUGCCAUCUGGGAACAGAAAAGCUAUUUCCCUUCCAAGUCAGAAAAACUGGUCGUCAGCAGUAG